This 748-nucleotide ribosomal RNA is filed under the name uncultured Bacillus sp. Its description in RNAcentral is "bacterial SSU rRNA". It matches the Rfam family "Bacterial small subunit ribosomal RNA", at positions 62 to 789 of the family's 1533-position model. The record is from RNAcentral. Lineage: Bacteria; Bacillati; Bacillota; Bacilli; Caryophanales; Bacillaceae.
UCGAGCGAAUGGAUUAAGAGCUUGCUCUUAUGAAGUUAGCGGCGGACGGGUGAGUAACACGUGGGUAACCUGCCCAUAAGACUGGGAUAACUCCGGGAAACCGGGGCUAAUACCGGAUAACAUUUUGCACCGCAUGGUGCGAAAUUCAAAGGCGGCUUCGGCUGUCACUUAUGGAUGGACCCGCGUCGCAUUAGCUAGUUGGUGAGGUAACGGCUCACCAAGGCAACGAUGCGUAGCCGACCUGAGAGGGUGAUCGGCCACACUGGGACUGAGACACGGCCCAGACUCCUACGGGAGGCAGCAGUAGGGAAUCUUCCGCAAUGGACGAAAGUCUGACGGAGCAACGCCGCGUGAGUGAUGAAGGCUUUCGGGUCGUAAAACUCUGUUGUUAGGGAAGAACAAGUGCUAGUUGAAUAAGCUGGCACCUUGACGGUACCUAACCAGAAAGCCACGGCUAACUACGUGCCAGCAGCCGCGGUAAUACGUAGGUGGCAAGCGUUAUCCGGAAUUAUUGGGCGUAAAGCGCGCGCAGGUGGUUUCUUAAGUCUGAUGUGAAAGCCCACGGCUCAACCGUGGAGGGUCAUUGGAAACUGGGAGACUUGAGUGCAGAAGAGGAAAGUGGAAUUCCAUGUGUAGCGGUGAAAUGCGUAGAGAUAUGGAGGAACACCAGUGGCGAAGGCGACUUUCUGGUCUGUAACUGACACUGAGGCGCGAAAGCGUGGGGGAGCAAACAGGAUUAGAUACCCUG